AACGGGACAGCUGAACGAUUUGGUAUUAGAACUAGGAUAUCUGAAUGACAUGGUACCAGGAGUGGGGUAUCUGAAUGACAUGGUGUUAGAAGUCUUGUCCUAACCUGCUGAAACGAAUGAAAGAGGUCAGAAGCAAAUUUCAGCUGGAAUGAAAAACUGACCAGGAAGCCCAGGAACACAUAUAAAUGAACUUUUAAUGUGAAAACACAAAAUAAAAUCAUGGUUAAGCACUUUCUUCUGUGAACAGACCUCUUCAGAACCAUGAGUUACAAAGACUGCGAUGCUGCUUAAAAGCUUAAAUGAGCUGGAACCAUAUUCCCAGCAAAAAACAAUUAAAUGCUUCAAGUCCUGAAAACAUCGCAAGUGUUUUAAAGAGGCAUGAGCUUGCAAAGAAAAACAGAAGAAAAGAAAAAAGUUAAUAGUUAAUAAAAGAUGCUGUAGAAUACUGUAAAGUUCUGUAAAAUAAAUCUAUGACAUAAAUCUUA
Protopterus annectens (West African lungfish) is the source of this 485-nucleotide long non-coding RNA. RefSeq lists it as uncharacterized. The record is from RefSeq and is a predicted model, not a curated record. The transcript is spliced from 2 exons. Lineage: Eukaryota; Metazoa; Chordata; Ceratodontiformes; Protopteridae.